RNAcentral lists this small RNA (28 nucleotides) under Bombyx mori (domestic silkworm). RNAcentral describes it as "ovarian small RNA-19202". The record is from RNAcentral. Lineage: Eukaryota; Metazoa; Arthropoda; Insecta; Lepidoptera; Bombycidae.
UAAGAUGAAACGACCUCACAGUUUGCAA